This 1124-nucleotide ribosomal RNA is filed under the name human gut metagenome. Its description in RNAcentral is "bacterial LSU rRNA". It matches the Rfam family "Bacterial large subunit ribosomal RNA", at positions 1342 to 2484 of the family's 2925-position model. The record is from RNAcentral.
UAUCCAAGGUUUCCAGAGUAAAGCUGAUCUGCUCUGGGUAAGUCGGGGCCUAAGGUAAGGCUGAGAAGCGUAGCCGAUGGACAACAGGUUGAGAUUCCUGUACCGCGUAUCAUCAGAACUGUGGGGACACAGAAGGACAGCACAUCCCGGGAAUGGAAAGACCGGGGCAAGCAGGGUAGGAGUUAAGCUGGCAAAUCCGCUUAACAAUCCGAAGCUGUGAUGCGGAGCGAAUUUAAGUAGCGAAGUGUGCGAUUCCAGCUGUCAAGAAAAGCCGCUAUUGUGUGAUACGUGCCCGUACCGUAAACCGACACAGGUAGAUGAGGAGAGAAUCCUAAGGCCGGCGGGAGAAGCAUUGUUAAGGAACUCGGCAAAAUGACCCUGUAACUUCGGGAGAAAGGGUGCCUGGGAAACCAGGCCGCAGAGAAUAGGCUCAAGCAACUGUUUAGCAAAAACACAGGUCUAUGCAAAACCGUAAGGUGAGGUAUAUGGGCUGACGCCUGCCCGGUGCUGGAAGGUUAAGAGGAGGGGUUAGCGCAAGCGAAGCUCUGAAUUGAAGCCCCAGUAAACGGCGGCCGUAACUAUAACGGUCCUAAGGUAGCGAAAUUCCUUGUCGGGUAAGUUCCGACCCGCACGAAAGGCGUAAUGAUUUGAGCGCUGUCUCGACAAUGCACCCGGUGAAAUUGAAAUACCAGUGAAGAUGCUGGUUACCUGCGCCAGGACGGAAAGACCCCAUGGAGCUUUACUCCAGCUUGAUACUGGGAUUCGGUACUGCAUGUACAGGAUAGGUGGGAGACUGAGAACUAUGAACGCCAGUUUGUAGGGAGUCGCUGUUGGGAUACCACCCUUGCGGUAUUGGAUUUCUAACCUGCAGCCGUGAACCGGCUGGGGGACAAUGUCAGGCGGGGAGUUUGACUGGGGCGGUCGCCUCCGAAAGGGUAUCGGAGGCGCUCAAAGGUUCCCUCAUAAUGGUUGGAAACCAUUAGAAGAGUGCAAAGGCAUAAGGGAGCUUGACUGCGACACCGACGGGUGGAGCAGGUAGGAAACUAGGACUUAGUGAUCCGGUGGUAUGAAAGUGGGAUUGCCAUCGCUCAACGGAUAAAAGCUACCCUGGGGAUAACAGGCUU